AUUGAACGCUGGCGGCAGGCUUAACACAUGCAAGUCGAGCGGGGGAAGGUAGCUUGCUACCGGACCUAGCGGCGGACGGGUGAGUAAUGCUUAGGAAUCUGCCUAUUAGUGGGGGACAACAUCUCGAAAGGGAUGCUAAUACCGCAUACGUCCUACGGGAGAAAGAAGGGGAUCUUCGGACCUCGCGCUAAUAGAUGAGCCUAAGUCGGAUUAGCUAGUUGGUGGGGUAAAGGCCUACCAAGGCGACGAUCUGUAGCGGGUCUGAGAGGAUGAUCCGCCACACUGGGACUGAGACACGGCCCAGACUCCUACGGGAGGCAGCAGUGGGGAAUAUUGGACAAUGGGGGGAACCCUGAUCCAGCCAUGCCGCGUGUGUGAAGAAGGCCUUAUGGUUGUAAAGCACUUUAAGCGAGGAGGAGGCUACUUUAGUUAAUACCUAGAGAUAGUGGACGUUACUCGCAGAAUAAGCACCGGCUAACUCUGUGCCAGCCGCCGCGGUAA
Molecule: ribosomal RNA, 501 nt
Filed under: uncultured bacterium
Lineage: Bacteria
Description: partial 16S ribosomal RNA
Rfam family: Bacterial small subunit ribosomal RNA
Source: RNAcentral